Long non-coding RNA from Oncorhynchus tshawytscha (Chinook salmon), 1186 nucleotides. Lineage: Eukaryota; Metazoa; Chordata; Actinopteri; Salmoniformes; Salmonidae. The record is from Ensembl.
GGGGUGAGAGAGGGAGGGAGGUGGGGGUGAGAGAGGGAGGGAGGUGGGGGUGAGAGGGGAGGGAGGUGGGAGGGAGGAUAGUGCUGCUCACAACCUAUUUAUGUCAAAGGUUGCUGAAGUGAAUAAUGCACAUCUCAAAUACUUUCUAAUUACAGAUGGUUUCAUGGAAAAAGGACUAAAUCACAUUCUUUGUUGAACAUUCUGAUUGCUGCUGGGACAAUCCUGAGAAACGAGUACAGUACAUACAGAUGUUUAUUUAUUUCACCUUUAUUUAACCAGGUAGGCUAGUUGAGAACAAGGUCUCAUUUACAACUGCGACCUGGCCAAGAUAAAGCAUAGCAAUUCGACCCAAUACAACAACACAGAGUUACACAUAGGCUUGCCCUUUACAAGUUAGUCCAUGAUAUCAUACAGGGCUUGAAUAAGAGUUGGGUCGUUAUUCAUUAGUGCACACUGUAGCAAAACGUUUUGCAACAGAUAAUCCAAAACUAAGCGUUUCUUACUGGACAAGUUCAGUUAUUCCUUCCCUGUUUCAGUCUGUUUUCUUAUGUUUGGCGUCUAGUGAAUACGAACCUGCGAUGGGAGUUGGUGUGGACGAGACGAAUCUAGCCCUUCUAGGAAGGAGAGGGGGAGCAGACUGGAAAAGAUGCCAACGAUACCAGAGAAGAUCAAAAACCUUCUGCUGCUUCAAGGACAAAUACAAGUUUUUAGAUGGAUUUUGAUGCACAGGAUACUACUAUCAACAAAACAAAAGCAUUUAAAAUGAAUCUUCCACUUUUCAUUUUGUCCAUCCAUUAAAAACAUUUGUGAAUGAUUUCACUAAUCCAAAUCAAGGAGCCAUUUCUGACCGGUACACCUUUUCCUUUUUAGAAGUUGUGGUUCGUUAAACCAAGGAAAGUCGUGACGUUUCUCUCGGUCUCAAUGACCAUUAGUUCCAUGUAUCUUCUGUUGUUGAUUCACUGAUAUCAGUUUAUUCUCUGUUCUAACCAAAGGACUAGCAUCAUAAGGACUAGCAUCAUGGACUAGCAUCAUGUACUAGCAUCAUAAGGACUAGCAUCAUGGACUAGCAUCAUAAGGACAAGCAUCAUGGACUAGCAUCAUAAGGACAAGCAUCAUGGACUAGCAUCAUGGACUAGCAUCAUCAUGGACUAGCAUCAUAAGGACAAGCAUCAUGGACUAGCAUCAU